This is a non-coding RNA of Chlorocebus sabaeus (green monkey), 829 nucleotides long. NCBI's taxonomy places the organism in Eukaryota, Metazoa, Chordata, Mammalia, Primates, Cercopithecidae. The record is from RefSeq and is a predicted model, not a curated record.
UUUACCUCUUUCCUUCUUCUUUUCCCUCUUUUUUUGCUUCCUCUGUCCUUUUCCCUCUCAGAAUUUCCUUAAAGUUGUACAAUGAUGAACCAUUUCCCUCUUUUCUGAGCCCCCAGAUAAGGCUGACUUCAGCUAACUCAAAUGUUUCCAAAGUCCUUAUGGAAUCAUCAGAAGAAAAUAGAAGAAAGGCACUGUCCAGGACAUCCGCCUUUCAGAAGCUGUAGUCCCAGUGCGACUGGGUCUCUGAAUUCCCCCGAAUAUUCUUUAAAAUACUCUGUUGGUCAUUAGAAAUUAUUUUAAUUUUAUAGGAAGAAAAUGAGAGAAAAAUAUUAAUUUGCCUAAUUUUUUCAACUGAAGCAAUUCAGGUCCUCUGAAAUUGUUAAAGUCACAGUGCUCUUAUCUUCGGAGCUGCUCCAGAUCUUUCUUGAGAGUUGGGAACAUUGCUACACGCUUCAGGAAGAGAGAAAACCAGGGAGGAAGAAUGUUUGUUGGUGAAAGUAUGACGAUUUGUCGGAUGAGCAAAUGACUCAGACAUCCCCUCUAUGAAAGCUGGAAUGCGAUAUAUGCAAAGAUCAUGGAAGCUUUCUGAAAAUGGGAGAUCUCAGAUUCAUACCUUCCUAGUUUAGAAAGAAAUUGCUCUAUAGUCUUAGACUAAGAACGUUUGAACUCUGUUUCUGUAGUCAUAAAAUGAAAAUAGCACCAUAACCUAAAUGUGUUUCCAGAGACUGGCUGGAGGAAAGAAAAUCUUGGAUGCACAAUGUCAUGAAUAAAGAAUUUGCCUAAGCAAAUCUUUGACUUUUUGCAACUCCAAGUCAUCUGUAAAAGGUUG